RNAcentral lists this ribosomal RNA (253 nucleotides) under uncultured bacterium. RNAcentral describes it as "partial 16S ribosomal RNA". It matches the Rfam family "Bacterial small subunit ribosomal RNA", at positions 524 to 776 of the family's 1533-position model. The record is from RNAcentral.
UACGGAGGAUGCAAGCGUUAUCCGGAAUGAUUGGGCGUAAAGCGUCCGCAGGUGGCUAUGUAAGUCUGCUGUUAAAGAGCAAAGCUUAACUUUGUAAAAGCAGUGGAAACUACAUAGCUAGAGUACGUUCGGGGCAGAGGGAAUUCCUGGUGUAGCGGUGAAAUGCGUAGAGAUCAGGAAGAACACCAGUGGCGAAGGCGCUCUGCUAGGCCGUAACUGACACUGAGGGACGAAAGCUAGGGGAGCGAAUGGG